UGGUGGAGUGAUUUGUCUGGUUAAUUCCGAUAACGAACGAGACUCUAGCCUGCUAAAUAGUACGCACGUAUUUCAUCGCGUGCCGUACUUCUUAGAGGGAUAGGCUACUUUUAGUAGCAAGAAACUGAGCAAUAACA
Molecule: ribosomal RNA, 137 nt
Filed under: uncultured eukaryote
Lineage: Eukaryota
Description: partial 18S ribosomal RNA
Rfam family: Eukaryotic small subunit ribosomal RNA
Source: RNAcentral